GAGGAAUAUUGGUCAAUGGGCGAGAGCCUGAACCAGCCAAGUCGCGUGAAGGAAGACUGCCCUAUGGGUUGUAAACUUCUUUUGUACUAGAGUAAAAAGAGGUAUGUAUACCUUCUUGCAAGUAUAGUACGAAUAAGCAUCGGCUAACUCCGUGCCAGCAGCCGCGGUAAUACGGAGGAUGCGAGCGUUAUCCGGAUUUAUUGGGUUUAAAGGGUGCGUAGGCGGGGAUUUAAGUCAGCGGUGAAAGUUUGAGGCUCAACCUUAAAAUUGCCGUUGAAACUGGAUUUCUUGAGUGUAGAUGAAGUAGGCGGAAUUUGUGGUGUAGCGGUGAAAUGCAUAGAUAUCACGAAGAACUCCGAUUGCGCAGGCAGCUUACUAAGGUACAUCUGACGCUGAAGCACGAAAGCGUGGGUAUCAAAC
This 420-nucleotide ribosomal RNA is filed under the name uncultured bacterium. Its description in RNAcentral is "bacterial SSU rRNA". It matches the Rfam family "Bacterial small subunit ribosomal RNA", at positions 356 to 773 of the family's 1533-position model. The record is from RNAcentral.